GGGCCCGCACAAGCGGUGGAGCAUGUGGUUUAAUUCGACGCUACGCGAAGAACCUUACCAGCCUUUGACAUGUCGACUAUGGUUGCCAGAGAUGGCGACCUUCACCUCGGGUGGGUCGAACACAGGUGCUGCAUGGCUGUCGUCAGCUCGUGUCGUGAGAUGUUGGGUUAAGUCCCGCAACGAGCGCAACCCUUACCUUUAGUUGCCAGCAUUUAGUUGGGCACUCUAGAGGGACUGCCGGUGAUAAGCCGGAGGAAGGUUGGGAUGACGUCAAGUCCUCAUGGCCCUUACAGGCUGGGCUACACACGUGCUACAAUGGCGACUACAGAAGGCAGCGACCUCGCGAGGGGAAGCGAAUCUUAAAAGUCGUCUCAGUUCGGAUUGCACUCUGCAACUCGAGUGCAUGAAUGUUGGAAUCGCUAGUAAUCGCGAAUCAGCAGGUCG
This 444-nucleotide ribosomal RNA is filed under the name uncultured Pseudomonadota bacterium. RNAcentral's name for it is "bacterial SSU rRNA". It matches the Rfam family "Bacterial small subunit ribosomal RNA", at positions 917 to 1359 of the family's 1533-position model. Lineage: Bacteria; Pseudomonadati; Pseudomonadota. The record is from RNAcentral.